Non-coding RNA from Macaca mulatta (Rhesus monkey), 720 nucleotides. Lineage: Eukaryota; Metazoa; Chordata; Mammalia; Primates; Cercopithecidae. The record is from RefSeq and is a predicted model, not a curated record.
GGAAGGAGAAAUGAGAGGGAGGCCUCUGUCUCCUAAUCUUUUCCAUAGGCUGCUGUUUUCUUUCUUUCCUCAUGAGGAAUAUCGAUAAAAACAAAAUAAACAAAUUAGCUACCACUUCUGAAAAUCCCCAGGAAAUUCCUUUUCCAGAGUUCUCACUUACUAAUUUGGCUAACAUUACCUCUGGUAACAGACCCCAUGUAUCUGCCACAAUUGCUGUGAGUUGCACAGGAAAAAGACUGGGAGGAAAUCUUCACUUUUCUUCUGCAACAGCAACCAACAGAAAUGAAAGAGCCAGGGGAUUUUGCAAAAUAUCAACUCCUGAGAACUAAGAACGAGAGCCCUUCUUGCCAAGCCUAUUCUGUGCCAGUCAUCAUAAAAUACUCUUCCUGUGAGCAUAACCCUAGCAAUGCUUCUUCACAAUGGCUGCAGCAGUUCCUCCCCAUUGCAGCAGCUGAAUUUGACUUGCAGUUUCUCUAAUGCUUGCAAGAGACACCAGUCUCAACAGAAGAGAACCUCUUCCUCAGAGGUCUGAGUUUCAGCUACGCACGGACCUUCCUCUGAGUUUCUAAGAUUAAUGAUUCCAAUCUCUGUCAUUGUUUGUCCAAUCCUAAGAAUAGAAACUACUUCCUGUAGUUGCUGUUUUCAUGAUACCUUAGUUAUUUGACUGAACAACUGUACGGCUUGUUAACAGUUAUUUAUAUUAAAUUAUCUGUGUCCUUA